This is a long non-coding RNA of Leucoraja erinaceus (little skate), 5985 nucleotides long. RefSeq lists it as uncharacterized. NCBI's taxonomy places the organism in Eukaryota, Metazoa, Chordata, Chondrichthyes, Rajiformes, Rajidae. The record is from RefSeq and is a predicted model, not a curated record. The transcript has 3 exons.
GGUCUGCAAUGGGCCUGCUGCAACUGACAAGGACGGCUGGAGUCAGCUGGAGGACACUGUGCUCACUUGCACAACCUAAUAACAGUUCUCACAACAACGCAAAACAAACGCACUGCUACUAGUCUGAAGAAGGGUCUCGACCCAAAACGUCACCAAUUUCUACUCUCCAGAGAUGCUGCCUGCCCUGCUGAGUUACUCCAGCAUUUUGUGUCUACCUACUUUCAGCUUGAUUCAGGAAUGCAUGGAAUAACUGAAGGCAGAGGAGAGAUUUCUCACAGAAGAAAAGAUGAUCAGACCAUUUCCAGUUGAUCUUCUCUUCAUUAGAAAAGUGGAGCUGUUUGCUUAUGAUUCUACUGUGUUCAUCUUCAUUCAAAUUCACCCAUUAAUAAAAUAAAUAAUAGCAAUUUAAAGCAGGACUUCAUAUAAUAUCCAGACUUACGGCAUUGAGUUCUGGGUAAUGUCCAUGGGCUAAAUUGAAGAAGAGAAACGCCAGACAUCUCACCUUGACCUUCAAAGUCAUCAGCGUAGCCAAAAUCUCAAUACAACAUCUUGGGAAUCACCAUUUAUCAGAAGCUUAACUGGUUGCCAAUCAUUCAUUGAUUCAAUUAUAUUUUAUUGUCACAUGUACCUAGGCACAGUGAAAGGCAUUGUUUCGCAAACAACCCGGUGAUAUCAUUUAGAAGACUUCACCUAAGCAGUACACAAGAGUCACCAUGUUUCUAGCACUGCCAAAGUUACAAAAAUUCAUUGAACCGUCCUAUCUUCUGCCUGCCAACGCACGUGGCAGCAGGCAGCACUCCGAGGAUCCCCACUUCGUUCUUAACGGCCCCAUAACAGGUCUCCCCUUUGUUCUCUGCUGUCCGCCCCACCCCACCUCAAGAGGAGUUUGAAUAGAUUUUGUUGCAGCUUAUUUUAAAGAACCAAUAACAUUUUAUACUUGGACAAUUAUUUUCAACAACCAAAAUGCUGAGCCAUAGUCGUCGACAGAUAAUUUAUUGCAUCCAUCAAUAAGAACAGCAAUUUACAAAACUUUGGCUGGUAUAGCUAAAUUAACAAUAAUGGGUGGAGACUUUUAGAAAUACAUAUAUUUUCAAAGAGUAAUAAACCAAGGGAGGUAAUGGGUUGCAGUUUUCCCUUCAGUUUUCUACCUCCUCUAAUGGUAACUCAUGGGCUUUAUCAACAACAGCAUAAGAAUGUACUAAUCGUAAUGAGAUUUUGAUGUUAUCAGAACAGUUUACAAAAAGGAAAUGAGAAUUUUCCAUUUAUUAAAGUGAGGGGUUGCUGUGCAGUUGGAUUUGGAAAUUCAAAGUACAAGUCCCCCUUGUACUAUAUAUUUAUCUACAGCACAGUUAGUGCAAGAUUUUUUGUUGUUUCCUUCUCCUACCUUAAGCGCAGCUCAGCUUUCGCCCUCAAGCACUUGGGUAAUUCCAUUUUCUGCACCAGCAUCCUCGUGCUUUACAAGGAUUAGACAGAUGUAAUGGGCACCUUUUGUAACAUAGAUCCUUAUUUGGAGGAAAGAACUGCAGAUGCUGGUUAAAAUCAAAGGUAGACACAAAAUGCUGGAGUAACUCAGCAGGACAGGCAGCAUCUCUGGAAAGAAGGAAUGGCAGAGAAGGAAUGGGUUAGAAGGAAUGGGUGACCUGAGUCUGAACAAGUGUCUCGACCCGAAACAUCACCCAUUCCUUCUCUCCAGAGAUGCUGCCUGUCCCGCUGAGUUACUCCAGCAUUUUGUUUCUACCUUCGAUUCUUAUUUGGAACCCACUGAAAGUAUCCAGUACGCUGCUUUUACUUAGAAUCAUCGCAGAUAUAGGAGAUGAGAAAAUACAAAAGGGACACAAGUGCUGGAGUAACUCGGCAGGUCAGGCAGCAUCUUUGGAGAACAUGGAUAAGUAAAGUUUCGGGUUGAGACCCACUGAACCCAAAAGGUCAACUAUUCAUAUUGUCUGCAGAGAUGCGGCCUGGCCUACCAAGUUACUCCAGUACUUUAUAUACUUUUUUGUAUUAGGCAGCAUCAGCAGUGCUUUAUUUCUACAUGGCAGAUAAGAGACUUUCAAUCAAUCCACAGGUGUUUCCAGUAAUGCACCACAGUUACAUUCUGGGAGGUUUUACAACCAAUUAGAAGUGAAACCAUUUUCUGACAUGAUUCUAUAAGUUCCCCUCAAAACAUUGAGGGGCGGAUAGCACCUUACCCCAUUCUAAAUUAUAAUUAUAGCAUUUACAAUAAGGGAAAUCUGCAAAGAAAAAGGAGGAAAUAAAAUAAAUAAUGGGGAGAAAUUAGUUAAGGGGCUGUCCCACUUGGGCGACCUAAUUCGCGAGUUCUGGCGAGUUUGCCCUCGACUCGUACACGCAGCAUGGUCGACACGAGGUCGUAGGAGGUUUUUAUAACUCCCCUUCAUGCUUGAGAGUGGUCCCCGUGUACUCGAGGCCACAGCUUGGUCGCGACGUAUUUUUCAACAUGUUGAAAAAUGCCCGCGAGUAAAAAAAGGUCGCCAUGGAAAAAAAUCGAUACUUUUUUUACUCGUAGGUUUAGUCGUAGUAGGUCGUAGUAGGUCGGCAUGUUAGUCGUAGGUAAUCGAGGGUAGUCGAAGGUAGUCGUUGAUAGUCUUCAUCAUAGUCGAAGGGAGGUCUGAGGAGAUCGAAGGAGGUCAUCUUCACUCUCCACUAUUCAGUGUCCAAUUUUCCAGAAGUUAGUCCUAAGUAGUCCUCAACAUAGUCAAAGGAGGUCUUCUACAUGGUCUUCAACAUGACAUAUUUUCAAACUCUCCUAAACUCUUCUAAACUCGCCAAUUAGGUCGCCCAAGUGCAACAGCCCCUUUAUAUGAAUGUUGUCAAAGAAGCUCCACGUUCAUACAAAAUGAAUGGCAGAUUCUGUUUGUCGCAUACAUGAUGUGAUGCGAAGGAUGAUUCAGGGAAUAUCAUGACGAAAAUAGUAUAUUUUUUCAGGCUUUGUUCCUUAUCCAGAUAAAAGUAAAAUAAAUAAUCACAAAGAGAAAGCCACUUUAAACAUACCACGGGGAGUGGGUAUGGAGGGGAGGGAGAAAUUGACCAGAUCCAAUUCAUACAGGUCGUGAAAUUCAACAUUUUUUGGUAAUAAACAAUGGAAGAAUAAAUCUUGGAAUCAAUGAGCAUACAGUUGUAUUCUUCACAUCUGUUCAUGCCAGUGUUGCAUUUCAAUUUUGAUUUUUAAUUCAAAUUUAUUUGCAUCAGGUUAUAAAUCUCAUUAUACGCAUGACAAUAAUUCAUAAUUCCAGUAGGGGUCAGUGCUAAGCAAAACGGUUCCUUAUGUUCUGAGACUUUGUGACUUCAAUGAAUGAUAUAUGAAGAACAUACAUUUGGGUGAUCAGUUACAUGAGUUACUGUGCUAGUCAGCAUAAUCAUUUACAUGCUUUAGAUACUGUCUGGGAAGGAACUUAGCAAAGCCUGGCCUGUGACCUUUUAAACGCCUGGGUCUGUUUAAAGUGACAGAGAAAAAUUAGAAGCAUGCAAACCGGUUGCUUGGGACAUUCUCGAUUGAUGAUUAAGUAAUCUACAUCCGUUGCCUGCAGCCACUUUGCCACCCACAACUACUCACUUGUACUGCUCUCUAGGGCCGACUAGUAGCACUUGUACUGGACCCAGUGUCUCUGGAGUGUGGAGGGAGCAGCUGAGGCCAAUCGGCAGCGUGGCUUCAAACUAGGGAGCCACUUCAGAAAGCCAUUUUUGGUUCUGAUUUGUAAAAACAUCAUUUAUACAGACAAGUAUGGGGAACGUGCAGCUUCUUCGUAAACUAGCGUAGUAAUGUGGUAAAACAUUCCAAGGAACAUCGUCAAACAAUGUUUGUCACUGAACCACGGUGAUCGCUUGGUCUCAGAACAAUAUUUCAAGGAGCAUCUUGAUGCUGCAGAGAUCCGUAAGCGGUGUGGAAAAUUCUAAGGAGAAAUCUCUAUUGCUUAUGCUGAAGGCAGCUGUAGCAUAGGCAAUAAUGUUUGGAGGGAAUGAAAUCGUGGAUGUGCAACAGUCCCAGUGGAGGAAAUGAAGGUCACAGAUCUGGAAACAUUAAAAAUAAGACAAGGGGGAGGUGUGAAAAUGAUAUAUGAAAACAGAGAUGGGAAUUUUAAAGUUGAGAUAAUGCCAGCAUUUAUUAGUGAAUAUGGGGAUGGUAUAUGAACAGUAAUUUUUGUGAGUUAGUGUAUAGGCUUCAGUUGCUCCAAAGUUUAUGGAGGUCGCUAGCCUGGAGGAUCCAUUGCAAUGGUCCAAAUGGUGAAAAUGGGGUAGAGCUGUGGAGGAUUGUCUCCCAGCAUUCCAAGCCGAGCAAGGGUCACAGUGCAUGAAGGGCCAAAGGCUAACGGUGGGAAUUUGAAGGUACCAGUAUUGAGUGAGCAGAUGGUUCUUUGAAUGAAAUGUUAGGAAGACUAAAUGCAUUGGGGCAGUUGUCCAGCAGGCCCAGGUUGUGGUUUUCCUUGAUGACCCUAACUCCAAGUACACCAGCAAGGAGUGUGAUGGAUCUCUCAAUGCAAGAGGCUGACAGUAAUGACAAGGAUGUUAAACUAAACACACAUACACACACAGUUAAACAUUUAAACUAGCUUUUUAAAAACCCAAUAAAGACCUUUUCAUACUAUUGUCCCAGCGACUCUUCGCAGUAAUUGAAAUUGGCCCAUUCUACUUGUGUUGAGGUAACCUGGUGCAGGCUCUUUGGGUUACUCCUAGGGAUAUCUGCACACAUUCCUGUUAUAUAGAAACAUAGAAAUAUAGAAAAUAGGUGCAGGAGUAGACCACUCGGCCCUUCGAGCCUGCACCGCCAUUCAAUAUAAUCAUAGCUGAUCAUCCAAUUCGGUAUCCUGUACCUGCCUUCUCUUCAUACCCCCUGCUCCCUUUAGCCACAAGGGCCACAUCCAACUCCCUCUUAAAUAUAGCCAAUGAACUGGCCUCAACUACCUUCUGUGGCAGAGAGUUCCAGAGAUUCACCACUGUUCUUCCAAUCGGCUCUGUGAGGUGUCCAACCAUGCAGUGGAGAAGUCCUGCAGCAGCUGCUUUGCUGGGCGGAAGGCUGCACUACAACCUCCAUCCAGGAAUUGUCCAGAGAUGGACUCUUGCACCAGCUGACCUGUCGUGGCAGAAAAAUUGUGCAUUGGCUUUAGCUCCCAGCACAAACUCACAAAUUCCUCUCCAUUAUCGCAGUAUGAGGCCAAACAAAAUAAUCUGCAAUCAGACAAUUGGGGAUUGGCAAUAAGUAAAUGCCAGAUUCUAUAAAAUGAAAUUUUUAAUAAUCAUAGUAGAGGCCAUGGCUUAUCAAAGAGAGUACCGCUGGUAUCUGUGUGCUUGUCUCUGUAGCGCAUGCAAAUGCUAUUAUUUGGACAGGCAGCAGAAGCCAGAGAAUUCAGAACACUGAUUCAGGUAAACAUAUCGGUUAUAAAAAUGGGCAAGACUGCAUGUUAUUUCACAACCAAGAAGGAAAUAAAUAUUUGCCUCUUGUGCAUUUGCCAGUUUUUCUCCCUUCCCUCCCGCACUGCACUGUCCAGCACAAAGUGUAGACAGAUCUUAUACAUCCGAGCAAGGUCCACAGAGCACAAUGUCCCGCAAAGUAAAAGGUAGCAUCUGCAGAAAGACAAAGGCACUUCCACCUGUUUAGUUAUCUCUGUUUCUCUUCCUACAGAUGUUCAUAAAUUCUCGGGAGCAGAAUUAGGCCAUUCUGCCCAUCAAGCCUCCUCUGCCAUUCAAUCAUGGCUGAUCUAUCUUUCCCUCUCAACCCCAUUCUUCUGCCUUCUCCCCAUAACCCCUGACACACUGAACAGGCUCCUGCUUAAACAAUGCUCCUGCUUAAACAAUGCAUGGAAUUUAAUGUGUAGGAAGGAACUUCAGAUGUGGGUUUAAACCGAAGAUAGACACAAAAUGCUGGAGUAUCUCAGCGGGACAGGCAGCAUCUCUGGAGAGAAAAAGUGGGUGAUAUUUUGGGUUGAGCCCCUUCUUCAGACUGAUGUCAAGGGAGAAGGACAUACAUAGAUA